RNAcentral lists this ribosomal RNA (774 nucleotides) under uncultured Neocallimastigales. RNAcentral's name for it is "partial large subunit ribosomal RNA". It matches the Rfam family "Eukaryotic large subunit ribosomal RNA", at positions 20 to 616 of the family's 3401-position model. The record is from RNAcentral. Lineage: Eukaryota; Fungi; Neocallimastigomycota; Neocallimastigomycetes; Neocallimastigales.
UACUAGAGUAGCACUCGCAUAUCAAUAAGCGGAGGAAAAGAAACUAACAAGGAUUCCCCUAGUAACGGCGAGUGAAGCGGGAAGAGCUCAAAUUUGAAAUCUUAAAGGGUUUCCCUUUACGAAUUGUAGUUUAAAGAAGUGUUUUCUGUUGAGGUUUUGGUAAAAGUUCUUUGGAAUAGGACAUCAUAGAGGGUGAGAAUCCCGUAUUUGACCUUUACUUUCAACUUUGUGAUACACUUUCAAAGAGUCGGAUUGUUUGGGAAUGCAGUCCAAAAUGGGUGGUAAAUUUCAUCUAAAGCUAAAUAUUGGCGAGAGACCGAUAGCGAACAAGUACCGUGAGGGAAAGAUGAAAAGAACUUUGAAAAGAGAGUUAAACAGUACGUGAAAUUGUCAAAAGGGAAGCGUUUGACACCAGUGUUGUUUUUCUGAAAAUCAAUUAAAGAACUGUUUAUGCUAAGUUGUUUAGACUUUAUCAGCUAACUGUUUAGUUUUGAGCUUUUCUUUAAUGCACUUUUCAGUUAACAAGUCAACAUCAAUUUCUUUUGCUGUAAAAAAGCUUGAGGAAGGUGGCUUGAGAUUCGUCUUAAGUGUUUAUAGCCUCUUGCCUGUGCAGUCGGAGAGAUUGAGGUCUGCAGCGUAGAUCCUUCGGGGCUAAAUGCAUUUGUGCUAAGUUAUAGCAUUUUAUAGACAACUUGUUGACUAUGAUUUGUCUUGUAGCUUACUCGCUUAUGUUAUUUUACCUACGCUUAGGAUGUUGAGCGCAUGUCUCUCUCU